GACGGAAGGUGCAAGCGUUGCUCGGAAUCACUGGGCGUAAAGGGUGCGUAGGCGGCCGUGCAAGUCUGGCGUGAAAGCCCCGGGCUCAGCCCGGGAAGUGCGCCCGAAACUGUCGUGCUUGAGUGUCGGAGAGGAAAGUGGAAUUCCUGGUGUAGAGGUGAAAUUCGUAGAUAUCAGGAGGAGCACCGGUGGCGAAGGCGGCUUCCUGGACCACAACUGACGCUGAGGCGCGAAAGCUAGGGGAGCAAACAGG
RNAcentral lists this ribosomal RNA (253 nucleotides) under uncultured bacterium. RNAcentral describes it as "partial 16S ribosomal RNA". It matches the Rfam family "Bacterial small subunit ribosomal RNA", at positions 524 to 776 of the family's 1533-position model. The record is from RNAcentral.